RNAcentral lists this ribosomal RNA (497 nucleotides) under uncultured bacterium. RNAcentral describes it as "partial 16S ribosomal RNA". It matches the Rfam family "Bacterial small subunit ribosomal RNA", at positions 28 to 507 of the family's 1533-position model. The record is from RNAcentral.
GAUGAACGCUGGCGGCGUGCCUAAUACAUGCAAGUCGAACGAACAGACCAGGCUCUUGCUCCUCUGACGUUAGCGGCGGACGGGUGAAUAACACGUGUAUAACCUACCUAUAAUUCUGGUAUCAUUUCGGGAAACCGGCUCUAAUACCGGAUAACAUGCUGCACCGCAUGGUUCGUCAGUAAAAUACGGUCUUUCUGUCACUUCUAGAUGGAUCCCCGCGGCUUUAGCUGGUUGGGAAGGUCACGGCUUAUCAAGGCAACGAUGCGUAGCCGACCUGAGAGGGUGAUCGGCCACACUGGAGGGGGGACAGGGACAAUACUCCUGAGGGAGGGAGCAGUAGGGAAUGUUCCGCAAUGGGGGAGAUCCUGGCGGAGCAACGCGGAGUGAGUGAAGAAGGUGUUCGGAGCGUAAAACUCUGUUACUAGGGAAGAACCAAUGUGUAAGGAACCAUGCACGGAGUGACGGUAACUAAUCAGAAAGCAACGGCUAACUACGUG